UACGGAGGAUGCGAGCGUUAUCCGGAUUUAUUGGGUUUAAAGGGUGCGCAGGCGGCACGGCAAGCCGGCGGUCAAAUCGCGGGGCUCAACCCCGCCCAGCCGUCGGAACUGCCGGGCUAGAGUGGGCGAGAAGUGCGCGGAAUGCGUGGUGUAGCGGUGAAAUGCGUAGAUAUCUCGCAGAACUCCGAUUGCGAAGGCAGCGCACCGGCGCCCUACUGACGCUCAGGCACGAAAGCGUGGGUAUCGAACAGG
RNAcentral lists this ribosomal RNA (252 nucleotides) under uncultured bacterium. RNAcentral's name for it is "partial 16S ribosomal RNA". It matches the Rfam family "Bacterial small subunit ribosomal RNA", at positions 524 to 776 of the family's 1533-position model. The record is from RNAcentral.